GUCUCUGUAUGUAUGUGUUUGUAUGUGUGUGUCUGUCUGUGUGUAUGUGUCUGUACACACACAUACAGACACCUACAUACAGACACACACACAUACAAACACAUACA
Molecule: microRNA precursor, 107 nt
Filed under: Pelobates cultripes (western spadefoot toad)
Lineage: Eukaryota; Metazoa; Chordata; Amphibia; Anura; Pelobatidae
Source: RNAcentral